RNAcentral lists this ribosomal RNA (274 nucleotides) under uncultured bacterium. RNAcentral's name for it is "partial 16S ribosomal RNA". It matches the Rfam family "Bacterial small subunit ribosomal RNA", at positions 523 to 796 of the family's 1533-position model. The record is from RNAcentral.
AUACGGAGGGUGCAAGCGUUGUUCGGAAUCACUGGGCGUAAAGGGCGCGCAGGCGGUUUGGUAAGUCAGAUGCGAAAGCCUACGGCUCAACCGUGGAAGUGCAUUUGAAACUGUCAGACUUGAGUACUAGAGGGGAAAGUGGAAUUCCCGGUGUAGAGGUGAAAUUCGUAGAUAUCGGGAGGAAUACCGGUGGCGAAGGCGACUUUCUGGCUAGAUACUGACGCUGAGGCGCGAAAGCGUGGGGAGCAAACAGGAUUAGAAACCCCAGUAGUCC